CAGAGUAAAGGGAGCCGGUAUCAGGCUCAAUAUGCCCACGACACCUAGCUCCGCCACGCCCCCAAGGGUACUCAGCAGUGAUCAACAUUGUAAACUAGCGCAAGCUAAAUUCAGUUAUUAGCCAAAAAAACCGGUCAAUCUCGUGCCAGCCACCGCGGUUAUACGGGCAGGUUUAAAUUAAUAACAUCGGCACAAAGCGUGGUUAAAUAAUUAUUUUACUAAAGCAAAAAUUAAGCCUGGCUGUGAUAUGCUUUCGCUUUUAAGAACCCCAAUUACGAAAGUAGCUUUAAUUAUAAUUGAACCCACGACCGCUAGGGCACAAACUGGGAUUAGAUACCCCACUAUGCCUAGCCUUAAACUUUGAAAUUUUCGCCUGGGGACUACGAGCGUCAGCUUAAAACCCAAAAGACUUGGCGGUGCCCUAUACCACCUAGAGGAGCCUGUUCUAUAAUCGAUAAUCCCCGAUUUACCUCACCAUCUCUUGCCAACACCGUCUGUAUACCUCCGUCGCCAACUGACCCCUUGAGGGUAAUAGUCGGUUAAAUGGCCUACCCCCAGUAAGUCAGGUCAAGGUGCAGCGAAUGAGGUGGAAAGCAAUGGGCUACAUUUUCUAUUUUUAGAUUACACGAAAGAUCACUAUGAAAUCUGAUCGGAAGGCGGAUUUAGCAGUAAAAAGAGACUAGAGAGCUCUUUUUAAGCUGGCUCUAGGGCGCGCACACACCGCCCGUC
Molecule: ribosomal RNA, 729 nt
Filed under: Megophrys popei
Lineage: Eukaryota; Metazoa; Chordata; Amphibia; Anura; Megophryidae
Description: partial 12S rRNA'
Rfam family: Bacterial small subunit ribosomal RNA
Source: RNAcentral